GCAGCGGCUGAGUUUGCAGAACAUGCAAGCCUAGCUGCCAGUGCUGUUGUAGGAUGUUCAAGGCAAUAUUAUGUUCAUGAUGGUGGUUCAUGCCACUUAGGUUUAAGGAUGAAAGGUUGGAACAUGGGCAAGCGUUUCCUGGAGAUGGUAAUGGUAAUUUUUCUGUUGGCUAGCAGAAUUGGAACAUGAAAUUUAAGGAUACUACCUCUGCUGCUCAAGCAGCGACUGCGUUUGCAGAACAUGCAAACCUAGCUGCCAGAGUUGUUGGAGAACUUUCAAGGCAAUAUUGUAUUGAUGACGGUGGUUCAUGCUACUUAGGUUUCAAGGAUGAAAGGUUGGAACAUGGGCAAGCAUUUCCUGGAGAUGAUAAUGGUAAUUUUUCUGUUGGCAAGCAGAAUUGGAAUAUGAAAUUUAAGGAUACUACCUCUGCUGCUCAUGCAGCGGCUGAGUUUACAGAACAUGCAAGCCUAGUU
RNAcentral lists this long non-coding RNA (473 nucleotides) under Nicotiana tabacum (common tobacco). RNAcentral's name for it is "long non-coding RNA (NTAB_LNC003622)". The record is from RNAcentral. Lineage: Eukaryota; Viridiplantae; Streptophyta; Magnoliopsida; Solanales; Solanaceae.